GCCUACACAUGCAAGUCGAGCGGGGAUACAAAGUGAGUAAUUGUUUUGUAUUCUAGCGGCGGACGGGUGAGUAACGCGUGAGCGACCUGUCCCAGUCUGGGGGAUAAGGAGCCGAAAGGCUCUCUAAUACCGCAUGAGACCACAGCAUCACAUGGUGCAGGGGUCAAAGGACUUCGGUCCGGACAGGGAUGGGCUCGCGUCUGAUUAGUUAGUUGGCGGGGUAACGGCCCACCAAGACAGCGAUCAGUAGCCGACCUGAGAGGGUGAUCGGCCACAUUGGAACUGAGACACGGUCCAAACUCCUACGGGAGGCAGCAGUGGGGAAUAUUGGGCAAUGGGCGAAAGCCUGACCCAGCAACGCCGCGUGAAGGAAGAAGGCUUUCGGGUCGUAAACUUCUAUCCCGGGUGAAGAUAAUGACGGUAGCCCGGAAGGAAGCCCCGGCUAACUACGUGCCAGCAGCCGCGGUAAUACGUAGGGGGCAAGCGUUGUCCGGAAUGAUUGGGCGUAAAGGGCGCGUAGGCGGCCAAGUAAGUCCGACGUGAAAGUCCUGUUUUUAAGAUGGGAAUAGCGUUGGAAACUGCAUGGCUUGAGUGCAGGAGAGGUAAGUGGAAUUCCCGGUGUAGCGCUGAAAUGCGUAGAGAUCGGGAGGAACACCAGUGUCGAAGGCGACUUACUGGACUG
This 682-nucleotide ribosomal RNA is filed under the name Clostridiaceae bacterium enrichment culture clone MS_OIL_O7. RNAcentral's name for it is "bacterial SSU rRNA". It matches the Rfam family "Bacterial small subunit ribosomal RNA", at positions 46 to 736 of the family's 1533-position model. The record is from RNAcentral. Lineage: Bacteria; Bacillati; Bacillota; Clostridia; Eubacteriales; Clostridiaceae.